Long non-coding RNA from Hypanus sabinus (Atlantic stingray), 760 nucleotides. RefSeq lists it as uncharacterized. The record is from RefSeq and is a predicted model, not a curated record. Lineage: Eukaryota; Metazoa; Chordata; Chondrichthyes; Myliobatiformes; Dasyatidae. The transcript is spliced from 3 exons.
AUUUAACCCGGAGCCCGCCUUGGGGUUGCCCUGACGCGACCGCUUUGUAAGAGUCGCAGCACGCACUGCGAGCGUUCAUUUGCUUGUCGUAGGAAGUGACGGAGGAUGAGAGGUGACCUGAUAGAGGUGUGUAAGAUGAUGAGAGGCAUUGAUCGUGUGGAUCGUCAGAGGCUUUUUCCCAGGGCUGAAAUGGCUAACAUGAGAGGGCACAGUUUUAAGGUGCUUGGAAGCAGGUACAGAGCAGAUGUCAAGGGUAGAAGGUACAGGAGCCUCAGGACUCAUACCACCAGGUACAAGAACAGUUACUACCCCUCAAAAAUCAGGCUCUUGAACAAAAGGGGAUAACUUCACUCAACUUCACUUGUCCCCAUCAUUGAAAUUUUCCCACAACCUAUGGACUAAAUUUCAAGGACUCUUCACCUUAUGUUCUCAUAUUUAUUGUUACUUAUUUAUUUAUAUUUGCAUUUGCACAGUUUGUUGUCUUCUGCACUCUGGUUGAACGCCCUAGAUGUUCACUGAUCCUGUUAUAGUUUCUAAUCUAUAGAUUUGUUGGGUGUGCCCACAAGAAAAUGAAUCUCAGAACUGUAUAUAUGGUGACAUACUUGUACUUUGAUAAUAGCAUUUACUUUUAACUUUGAGCUUUAAUACUAUGAUGUCAAAAACACUUAGUGGUUCUGACUGGAGCAUGGGCACAUUAAUUUGUAUCAGUGCCUGGAUCAAAUUGUUCUGCUGUUCCCCUUCUUGCUCCUAACAGGGUCUU